This 7543-nucleotide unclassified non-coding RNA is filed under the name Diabrotica virgifera virgifera (western corn rootworm). Its description in RNAcentral is "catenin alpha". The record is from RNAcentral. Lineage: Eukaryota; Metazoa; Arthropoda; Insecta; Coleoptera; Chrysomelidae.
UUCUUAAUGACAACUGGCACUACUGGCAGUUUUGACACACCUAUGCAGUUAUGAUUCAUUUUUGAGAUAAACAAUAGGGUGAAUUUAUUUUUCUUUUAGUCAGAUUUAGUAAUAAACUAAGCUCGUUUAGUAGUGUAUUUACUACCGAUUUACGUUUUAUUUUGUAUAUAGCUAAGUCUCAAUUAAAAAUGAUGACUGACCGCUUCGGUUUAAAAUGGGACCCGAAAAACUUAGAGAUAAGAACCAUGUCUGUGGAAAAGACAUUGGAACCCCUAGUGCUUCAAGUUACCACCCUCGUCAAUACCAAGGGGCCUAGCAAAAAGAAGAAAGGAAAGUCUAAACGUGCCAAUGCUCUGGUUAGUACUGUUGAAAAAGCCACCGAAAACUUCAUAGAAAAGGGGGAGCAGAUAGCCUAUGAGAAUCCAGAUAUUACUGAGGAAAUGCUGGCAGCUGUUGACGAAGUCAAGAAAACGGGACAUGCUAUGAGCGGAGCUGCAAGAGAAUUUUCAGAAGACCCAUGUUCUUCUUUAAAAAGAGGAAAUAUGGUUAGGGCUGCUAGAAAUCUUUUAUCGGCUGUAACUCGUCUUUUAAUUCUAGCGGACAUGGUUGAUGUCCACCUUUUGCUCAAAUCCUUACAUGUAGUUGAGGAUGACCUCGAAAAACUAAAAAAUGCUUCAAGCAAUGGCGAACUUUUAGACAAUAUUAAAGCCUUUGGUCAAAAUGCCAACGAAUUAAUGAAUCAGGCUGCUAAAAGGCAGCAAGAACUGAAAGAUCCACAACUUCGUGAUGAUCUAGCAGCUGCUAGAGCUGUACUUAAGAAACAUUCCACUAUGUUAUUAACUGCCUCUAAGGUUUAUGUACGUCAUCCAGAGCUAGCAGCUGCCAAAGCAAAUAGAGAUUAUGUCUUGAAACAAGUUUGUGAAGCUGUGAAUACCAUUAAUGAUGUAGCUCAGGGAAGAACUCCUCAACCUGCUUCUGGACCAUAUGAUGGACCUGGAGAGUUGGCUGCUGCUUUGGAUGAUUUUGAUGAUCACAUGGUAAUGGAGCCUCUAGCAUACAAUGAAGUUCAUACCAGGCCUUCAUUGGAAGAACGUCUAGAAAGCAUUAUAAGUGGUGCAGCUCUUAUGGCAGAUUCUAGUUGUACUAGGGAUGAAAGAAGGGAAAGGAUAGUUGCAGAGUGUAAUGCUGUAAGACAAGCUUUGCAAGACUUGUUGACUGAAUAUAUGACAAAUAUGGGCAAUAAAGAUAAAAGUGAGAGCCUAAUACGAGCAAUCGACAAUAUGGGUAGAAAGACUAAGGAUUUAAGAAGACAACUGAGAAAAGCUGUUGUAGAUCAUGUAUCUGACAGUUUCUUGGAAACCAACGUACCUCUUCUCGUUUUAAUAAAGGCAGCUCAAAAUGGCAACGAAAAGGAGGUAGAAGAAUAUGCAGUUGUAUUUACUGAACAUUCCAAUAAGUUAGUAGAAGUUGCUAACCUUGUCUGCAGCAUGUCUAAUAAUGAAGAUGGUGUCAAAAUGGUUAGAUAUGCUGCUGCUCAGAUCGACAAUCUGUGUCCUGAAGUAAUAAAUGCAGCUAGAAUUUUAGCCGCUAGACCUCGCAGUAAAGUUGCUCAAGAAAAUAUGGACGCAUUCAAGCAAUCAUGGGAGAAUCAAGUGAGACUUCUGACUGAAGCAGUCGAUGACAUUACUACUAUCGACGACUUUUUGGCUGUUUCUGAAAACCAUAUUCUGGAAGAUGUUAAUAAAUGUGUACUUGCCUUGCAAGAAGGUGAUUCUGACACAUUGGAUCGCACUGCCAGUGGUAUAAGAGGAAGAUCCAAUAGGGUGUGCAAUGUAGUAACAGCUGAAAUGGAUAAUUACGAACCUUGCAUUUAUACCAAACGUGUUCUUGAAGCCGUCAAAGUAUUGAAUGAUCAAGUGAUGCCCAAGUUUACUCAAAGAGUGCAAGUUGCAGUUCAAGCUUUGGGAAAUAGUCCUCCCAAAGAAGUGGAUGAAAACGAUUUUAUCGAUGCUUCUAGACUUGUUUACGAUGGAGUGAGAGAAAUAAGAAGAGCCGUUCUAAUGAAUAGAGCCGAUGAAGAUUUAGAUCCAGAAGAUGUCGAAUUGGAUGAAAACUAUCUAAUAGAAACAAGAAGCAAAUCGAGCGCUCACACAGGCGAACAUGGAGUUGAUGAGUAUCCAGAUAUUAGUGGAAUUACAACGGCUAGGGAAGCUAUGGGUAAAAUGCCGGAAGAAGAUAAACAGAAGAUUUUGCAACAGGUUGAGUUCUUCAGGAGUGAAAAACUCAAGUUUGACCGUGAGGUCGCUAAAUGGGACGACACUGGCAACGAUAUUAUCGUUCUUGCUAAGCACAUGUGUAUGAUUAUGAUGGAAAUGACAGAUUUUACCAGGGGUCGUGGCCCUCUAAAAACCACUAUGGACGUUAUUAAUGCGGCUAAAAAGAUUUCCGAAGCUGGAACCAAAUUAGAUAAACUUACUCGCCAAAUAGCUGAACAGUGCCCAGAGAGUUCCACCAAAAAAGAUUUGUUGGCUUAUUUGCAACGUAUUGCUCUUUACUGCCACCAGAUGAACAUUACAUCAAAGGUUAAAGCCGAUGUUCAAAACAUCAGUGGAGAACUUAUUGUAUCUGGGUUGGACAGUGCUACUUCUUUGAUUCAAGCUGCUAAGAACUUGAUGAAUGCUGUAGUUCUCACAGUAAAAGCUUCAUAUGUGGCAUCCACCAAAUACCCAAGACAAGGAACUAUUGCAUCGCCGAUUGUUGUCUGGAAGAUGAAAGCGCCAGAGAAGAAGCCGUUAGUCAGACCAGAGAAACCCGAAGAAGUUCGUGCCAAAGUACGCAAAGGCUCACAAAAGAAAGUUCAAAAUCCAAUUCACGCUCUUUCUGAAUUCCAAAGCCCAACUGAGUCUGUGUAAACGUAAACCUUUAUCCAUUAAUAUAUUAACCAGAUGUUAACUAUUAUUUGCCUGAUUAUUCUGUGACAUUUUCUAUGUACCUAUAGAUUCGUAUUAAUAUAAAGUCUGAUUAGAGGCAUGUUCAAGUUCAUUUAACAUUUGAACAGUACAUAGUAAGUCCGUAGUUUCAUCAAGUGUUAAAUACAGUGUGUUCUAACGAAAAUAUGACCCCCUCCCAGAAACUGAGAAACCAAGAGUUUCUUCACAAUUUAAAAAUCACGUCAAUUUGUAUUGGAAGAGGGACGAAUGUUCAUGCAAAAUUCAUGCCCUCAGAUGUAACCCCCUACUGCCCCCCAGUUUUUUAAAAUAGCAAGUGUUGUCGAGUUGCACAUCAUUUGAAAGGUAUUUUUUUUCUCUACACGACCAGCUAUUUUUUUUAUUUGCGGAAUAACUUAAAAGACAAUUUUGGAUUUAACUAAUUUAUAAUACAUUUGUUAAGUCCAGAAUUAUCUUCAAACUUAUUACUUAAUUAAAAAAAAUAGAGUGGCAUGUAGAGAAAAAAAAUUACCUUUCAAAUGGUGUGCCUUGCUAUUAAAAAAAGCUGGGGGUUGAUGCGGGGCAGUAGGGGGUUACAUUUGAGGGCAUGAAGUUUGCAUGAAAAUUCGUCCCCUUCCUAUUAUAAAUUGACGUGUUUUUUAAAUUUUGAAGAAGCUCUUGGUUUCUGAGUUUCUGGGGGGGGGGGGGGGGUCAAAUUUUCGUUGGAACAGACUAUAUAAGAAUAUGCCCGAGAGGUCGACAAACGAUAUAACAACUGCAAGUUGACACAUUUCUAACUUGAAAAAUGAUUAGUUAUUUUGUAUAGCUCGUAUAAAGACUAGUGUAUUGCCAAAUAUACACCCCGGUAAUAUUUUAUAUUUAUUUAUAAAAUCGUUAAUCAUAAUAAAUAUCACUGAUUUUUACAAAAAAUACGCAAUAUUGGUUAGAACAAUCAAGUUUUUAAUAUUCCAAAACAAUAUCGCACCUCCGCUCAAAUAGUUGUCAUAACUCAAAAAAUUUUAAAAUCGGUUUGAUUGCACCAACAGUUUAAUAAAACUAUAAACUCGUAUCUUACAAAGUGUCACGUCUAUGGGUCAAGUAUUUAUCGUUAGAUGACACUAGUGUCAUUAUACGAUUAGCCAAAAUCAACGACGCACCGAACACAAACAGUGACACAUAUCGACUUGUGCAAGGCAUUUGCACAUCGAAGAUGUGUAUUAAGCAUCGUUUGUCGAGUUACAGUAUAUGUGAUUAAUUUAUUCAAAACAAUCUGCGUAUGUGCUCAACAUUUAUCACUUAUUUAUCUUUCAUUUUGCAGUAUUUUGUGUUUAAUGUUGUUACUUGUAUUUAAAGUUACAUCAUUAAAAGGUAUAAGUCUGUUAACCAGACAAUAAUAAUAUUAUAUUCUGUACUGCAAGUGUCACUUUUGAUAAAUAAUAUUUCGUAAAUUUUUCGUUAUUUUAUCUGUAUAGUGUCACAACUCAAAAAGAAAAUGAUUUUUUUAAAUAUUUUUAAUAUACUUAAUACGCUAUUUUAUACAGCUUCAAAAACCAUUGCAACUGACUAAAAUAGUUAUUCUAAUUUUAAUAGUUUUUGAAUUAAACCCGAAAAUGUUGUAGGACAAACUUUAAACGUCGUUUUCUCGAAACUUUUCAUUUUUGACUUAUGACACUCUUUGAACGGAAGUGCGAUAUGUCGGACAUGCGCCAAGAAGUUUUUCGUUACAUUUGACCGUGUUGCCAGUUUCAACCUUUAAAAGAUCUAAAAAUUUAAUGAAAAUUACUUAAGUUAAACAGAUGGAUGCAAUCCUAAUAACUUGGUGGGUAUGGAUAUAACGAUGCGACAGCGGUAAAGAAUGCAUGCAUCCUCUUCUUCCGAUCAGAAAAUCUUCUUUUGAAGUAAAAUUUUUCAAGAUAACCCACAAAAUGGUCUUUCCUUAUUCCAUACUUGGGAAUGGUGGUCCAAAUUUCCCUCCAGAGUCCAAAGCCAAAUCCGUGGCUUUAAAUGUAAGAAAGUUGCCAAGAUAAUUAUUUCCUUUACUGGCAGUUUACUCGCUUCCAAGAAGGUCCCUUUCUUUUUCGUGUCCUAAACUAUUUUCAGUUGUUUUGCGUAAUCAGCAUUCGCCUAUUCGCCAAUCCAAAGGUUUUUUUGAGAAGAUGAAAAAUCGGAUUUUGGAGGUAAUGUUACUAUUAUUAGUAAAUUGAGCCAUAUGCUGGCGCUCUUAUAUAAAAUAUAAACAUUUCUAAUAUCUUCAAAAUGAUCUGUUGUUCAAAUGUUCACAAAAUAUUUAUUUAUAUACCCCUGUUUAAAUUUAAUCAAAACUUUCACAAGUCGUAGUCACUAGUGAGUGAGAGUAGUGAGUUAGUGACUGAACUCGGUCCUAAUUAUUCUGAUAUUGUAUCACUUGGUUUUAUUUAUUUUUUUUUUGAAACAGUAGUUGAUACUAAUGUAAUCGAGGAGCAGUAAAUAAAUAACAAGAUGGCUCUAGGUUGUCGUUAAACACUUUAUUACAUUUAUGUAAAAACAAACGUUGACUACCAUCUAAUAUCUAACUAAGGUUAAGUCUAUCUUCUAUAAAACAUAGCCGCACCCAUUUGUGCGGGAACCAGUGUGUCCAACGGCUGUCACAUGCGUUAAGCCAAGUCUACAUGUGUUAAGCCGUGUCUACACUGUUUCUCACGAUACUACAGAUACUUUUGUUGAUUUUUCUUUUAAGACCGAAGCAGGUCCUUUAAAUUGCGUUUCUUAUAUAAAAUAUAAACAUUUUUAAUAUCUUCAAAAUGAUCUGUUGUUCAAAAGUUCACAAAAUAUUUAUUUAUAUACCCCUGUUUAAAUUUAAUCAAAACUUUCACAAGUCGUAGUCACUAGUGAGUGAGAGUAGUGAGUUAGUGACUGAACUCGGUCCUAAUUAUUCUGAUAUUGUAUCACUUGGUUUUAUUUUUGUUGAAACAGUAGUUGAUACUUUGGUUGAUUUUUCUUUUAAGACCGAAGCAGGUCCUUUAAAUUUAUAAUAGUCUUUGUCAAGGCUAUUAUACAUUUUUGAAGAGCCAAAACAACAAUAAUCGGCAUUUUUGAGGUAGGGCUGAAAUUCUCCGAUGGAUUGACUGGGAAACCACCCCUGGCGCCAUAAAUUUGCGAACGGCGACUACAAGGAACAGGAAAAAGGACGAGGUGCUGGAAUAAAUUAAAGAAAUGAAAACUGAACAUUAAUUAAACUCGGUGAAUACCUCAAAGAAAUGAGUGAACUAAGAGCAGAAAAUACGCAAAUGAAAGCAGAAAUUAAAGAAUUACGAGAAGAAAUGGAAACGCUAAGUAAACUAAAAUUUAAGGAGGCAGUGCCAAAGAGACAUAAAAUACAUUUUAGAAAGGAUUCAGGUGGUACACAUUAUUAACUCUUCCUUUAGAAAUUCGUGGCUUUAAAUGUAAUAAAGUUGCCGCCACCAAGAUAAUUAUUUCCUUUACUGGCAGUUUACUCGCUUCCAAAAAGGUCCCUUUCUUUGUCGAUAGAGUAAAGCCACAUCUUUCGGGUUUUUGCCUUUAGUGACAAUAGAACAUUUUAUCUAUUAUGUAACUGAAAUAUUAUAAAUAAAAUGAACAUUUUAUAUUUUUUGCUGUUGGAACUAUGGCACUUCUGGUUUUAAAGAUUCAUCAUCAACUUAUCAUACACUUUUGGGUUAUUAAGAUUGAUCCUGUAUCGUAUUAACACUUUUUCAAAAAGUAUUGAUUUUAUAAAUAAAUAUAAACUUUCACCACGCAAGAACUGCAAUAAGGUAUCACUAAAUACUCUUUUUAUUAUAGGCAAGUAACAAAUUGUUUCUGAGUUUUUUGAUCACUUUAAUAUAUGAAAUCUAGGUCUACAAUAUCCCUAUUAAAAACUAAAUGUUACUUUGUAAAUUUAUCGUUCUAUAUAUUAAGAGUAGGUAUUAUAAGUCAAAAAUGAAUAUUUUUUAUGCUCUCUGCUGAAAUAAUUAUUACAACUUACAACUAAAUAUCAAAAUGGUGAUGAAAUAUGAUCCAUAAUUGUAGUAAUUAACUAUUUUACUUUCUGUUUUGAUAAUUACAUAAUUUUUAAGUUCAAAAUAUAGAAGAAUGCAGAAAGGUCUUUAUUACGACUUAUACUCUUAGUAAAUAGCACGUUAGAGAUAUUAUACUAUAUAUUUGGCGACACCUAUUAUUUUAUACACCCCGUAGAUGCUAAACGCUAGUAGAUAGAACUAAUAUUCAAGUUGGAAAGACGAUUUUAGAUGCUUUACCCAAAAAUGGCAGUGGCCAGAUCCAGAUGCUAUGCAAACUUGAUUUCAGCUUUUAAGAGUGUUUUGACUAAAAAAUAAAAGUAAUGAAUCAUUAAAUUAAGGUGGAAAAGCACUAAAUACAUAAAAUACAAGUUUUCGUUAGUCGACUCCUUUAAACGGUUUUCCUUUUAGAAUUUACUAUAUGUAGACUUGUUGUUUUGGGGUAUACAUAUCAACAUUCUACACUAUAUUCAGUAUUUUUGUGUGCAACUAUUUCUAUGAGCAUAUGUGGUUUCAGAUUAGGUUGGUUUUUGUAGUUAGAGCUUUAUUUACAUUAUGUAUUUUAUUACUUACUCUUGAUACUGAAUAAAGCAUUUUGCUAUA